ACAGUGGUAGUUCAGUGGUAGAACUCUCACCUUCCAUGUGUGAGACCCCCAGGUUCGAUUUCCAGUCAAUGCA
This 73-nucleotide transfer RNA is filed under the name Loxodonta africana (African savanna elephant). It matches the Rfam family "tRNA". Rfam says of the family: Transfer RNA (tRNA) molecules are approximately 80 nucleotides in length. Their secondary structure includes four short double-helical elements and three loops (D, anti-codon, and T loops). The record is from Rfam by way of RNAcentral. Lineage: Eukaryota; Metazoa; Chordata; Mammalia; Proboscidea; Elephantidae.